UCCUCCUGAAGCAAGUUAAAGAACAACUUAGCUUCUUCUUUUUUUAUCCCUCUUUUAACAGAAAAUCCCAGAGAAAUAGCUAAAAGAAUGGGAAAAAAAUUUGCAACAAAACAACCAAUAUAAACUGUAUUUUGUGUUUUUAAACAGCACUUGGGGCCAAAAAAAGACCCUCUUGUUUUCUUGACAAAACCCCAAAAGAUCUUUAUUGGUUAUCCACGAAAAGACCCUCUCCCAACCAGCAGCAUCCAGUGCAGGAAACAAAUCCACAAACGAAAACGACAUCCAACAUUGAAUUCUCC
This 299-nucleotide long non-coding RNA is filed under the name Olea europaea (common olive). RNAcentral's name for it is "long non-coding RNA (OEUR_LNC013939)". Lineage: Eukaryota; Viridiplantae; Streptophyta; Magnoliopsida; Lamiales; Oleaceae. The record is from RNAcentral.